RNAcentral lists this ribosomal RNA (257 nucleotides) under uncultured archaeon. Its description in RNAcentral is "partial 16S ribosomal RNA". It matches the Rfam family "Archaeal small subunit ribosomal RNA", at positions 748 to 1006 of the family's 1478-position model. The record is from RNAcentral.
UAGCCGUAAACGAUACUCGCUAGGUGUCGGCCACGGUGCGACCGUUGUCGGUGCCGUAGGGAAGCCGUGAAGCGAGCCACCUGGGAAGUACGGCCGCAAGGCUGAAACUUAAAGGAAUUGGCGGGGGAGCACAACAACGGGUGGAGCUUGCGGUUUAAUUGGAUUCAACGCCGGAAAUCUUACCGGGACCGACAGCAACAUGAAGGCCAAGCUGAAGACUUGCCGGAUUAGCUGAGAGGUGGUGCAUGGCGUAGUCG